GACUUAAUACUUUAAAUUAAAAGAUCUGACUUGCAUUCAGAAAAUAGGCUGAUUAGUUAUGCCUUUAGGUCA
This 72-nucleotide transfer RNA is filed under the name Harpago chiragra. Its description in RNAcentral is "tRNA-Ala". Lineage: Eukaryota; Metazoa; Mollusca; Gastropoda; Littorinimorpha; Strombidae. The record is from RNAcentral.